AUGAACGCUGGCGGCGUGCCUAAUCCAUGCAAGUCGAGCGAACAGACGCUGAGCUUGCUCCUCUGACGUUAGCGGCGGACGGGUGAGUAACACGUGGAUAACCUACCUAUAAGACUGGGAUAACUUCGGGAAACCGGAGCUAAUACCGGAUAAUAUAUUGAACCGCAUGGUUCAAUAGUGAAAGACGGUUUUGCUGUCACUUAUAGAUGGAUCCGCGCCGCAUUAGCUAGUUGGUAAGGUAACGGCUUACCAAGGCAACGAUGCGUAGCCGACCUGAGAGGGUGAUCGGCCACAUGGGAACUGAGACACGGUCAAGACGCCUAAGGGAGGCAGCAGUAGGGAAUCUUCCGCAAUGGGCGAAAGCUUGACGGAGCAACGCCGCGUGAGUGAUGAAGGUCUUCGGAUCGUAAAACUCUGUUAUUAGGGAAGAACAAAUGUGUAAGUAACUAUGCACGUCUUGACGGUACCUAAUCAGAAAGCCACGGCUAACUACGUG
Molecule: ribosomal RNA, 496 nt
Filed under: uncultured bacterium
Lineage: Bacteria
Description: partial 16S ribosomal RNA
Rfam family: Bacterial small subunit ribosomal RNA
Source: RNAcentral